GCAUUGGUGGUUCAGUGGUAGAAUUCUCGCCUUCCAUGAGGGAGACCCGGGUUCAAUUCCUGGCCAGUGCA
This 71-nucleotide transfer RNA is filed under the name Loxodonta africana (African savanna elephant). It matches the Rfam family "tRNA". Rfam says of the family: Transfer RNA (tRNA) molecules are approximately 80 nucleotides in length. The record is from Rfam by way of RNAcentral. Lineage: Eukaryota; Metazoa; Chordata; Mammalia; Proboscidea; Elephantidae.